RNAcentral lists this unclassified non-coding RNA (2280 nucleotides) under Octopus sinensis (East Asian common octopus). RNAcentral's name for it is "non-POU domain-containing octamer-binding protein, transcript variant X5". The record is from RNAcentral. Lineage: Eukaryota; Metazoa; Mollusca; Cephalopoda; Octopoda; Octopodidae.
CGUGGUACAUAAAUAUUUUCUCAGUGAAGAAGGGUCGCCAUAUUGAGUAAUUGUGUGUUAGAGAGAGAAUAAGAGAAGGGCAAGAAGGACGCACUUUGGACACGUUCUUCUCUUUCUCUAGUUCUCUUUAUCAGUAGAAAGAGAAGGAUUUUUAUUAGUAUUUUUUUAGAACAUCCAGAAACCCCCCAAAAGGUUUUCUAAGAGGUAUAUAUAUACAUAUAUACCUGGACUUUUAUUUAUAAUCGGUACCACAAAGGCUUCACGAUUUUUCCCAAACGGAAUAGACAGGCUAACAGCGGCGGUAUGGCUGGAGGCUUUAAUAAGGGCAAACAAACCGACAACAACCCGGGCAAGAACAAGCCCGAUAGCAUCAAACAGGAGAUGAUGUCGCCGAAUUCCCGCGGAGGCGGUGGCGGCAACACGGGUUCGAGUAACGACAAAGGCAAAUCGUCGAACGAAAGAUCUUUACAUUCUGGCAGCAAGUCCCACCAACAUCACCAGCAACAUCAACAACAACACAACAGCCAAGGUGGUGGUGGUGGAAACCUCCAGGAAGGCAAAGGCGACGUCUCCGGUCUGUCGGCUGCCAGUGCGGCGGCCUUGUCGACAAGAGACGAAAAGAAAUUCACGGGAAGAUGUCGUUUAUUCGUUGGUAAUCUCACACCUGACAUCACAGAAGACGACUUUCGAAAGCUCUUCCAACCUUAUGGAGAGAUCUCCGAAGUCUACGUUAAUGCUAGCAAAGGUUUUGGAUUUAUCCGACUGGAUUAUCGUCACAAUGCAGAAGCCGCAAAAGCUGCUCUUGAUGGCAUGCAACGCAAAGGAAGAACACUGCGUGUUCGUUAUGCAUCAUUAGGUUCUGCCUUAAAAGUGAAAAAUCUAUCACAACACGUCUCUAAUGAAUUGUUACAUCAAGCAUUUUCCCAAUUUGGUGAGGUUGAACGAGCAGUUGUCAUAGUUGAUGAUAGAGGUCGGCCAACAGGUGAAGGAAUUGUAGAGUUUGCAAGAAAACCUGGUGCUCAAGCCGCAUAUAAAAGAAUAACUGAGGGUGUUUUUCUUCUGUCAUCUGCUCCACGUCCAGUGACAGUCGAACCCCUUGACCAAAAGGACGAAGAAGAUGGAUAUCCGGAAAAGUUCAUCAAUAAAACUGAUGCCUACAAGAAGGACAGAGAAUCAGAACCCCGCUUUGCACCUCCCGGCUCUUUUGAAUAUGAGUUUGGUCUGCGCUGGAAAGAACUUGAAGAACUUGAGAAACAACAGCAUGAAGGUGUCAAGAAAGCUAUGGAAGAGUCUCGCCUCAAAUUGGAAGAUGAAAUGGAAAAUGCAAUGUUUGAACAACAAGCUGAAAUGAUCCGUCAAGACUUACUGCGACAGCAGGAAGAACUUAGAAGACUUGAAGAAAUACGCCAACAAGAACAAAUUCGCCGUAGGCAAGAAUUAGAAAUGAGAUAUCCAAACAGGCGCCAGGACGAAGAAAGGCGACGGCAAGAAGACGACCGAAGGCGUACAGAUUUACUGUUGAGAUCCCAGGAAAUUCGUCGUCGACAAAUGGGACAAGAAUCUAUGGGUAGGGAUCGGCCAGGGGAUAUGAUGGGAAGACAGGGUGGUAGUCCAGCAAUGAAUGAUAAUCAACAGAGAGGUAGAAACACCAACACUGGUGCACCUCCUCUCCCACCACCUCCCCCACCUCCUGCAGCUAUGGGACUCGACAGACCUGGCCAGAAUCAGAUGACUGGUGGAGGAAGUAUGAGUGGUGGUUACAAUUACAGUAACCAAGGACCUAUGGGUGGACAGAACAUGGGUGGAGGACCUGGUGGCAGUGGCAAUACUAGCAACUCUAAUAUGGGUGGAGGCCCAACGGGUGGAGGAAUGACUGCAAAUUCUAUGGUUAAAAUGAAUCAAAGUGUCCCCAACAGAAUGAUUAUUUCAGUUUGCUGAAAAUAGAAAGGUGGUUUUAUAUACUGGACUCUCCACCCACCUCUCUCUCCCCCUCCCCUCCUAUAAAAAGCAUCCUGUGUAGCGCCAUCCGCUUUUUUUAUUGGAUUCUGACUUGAGAAGAAGUUUGAUCCAGCGAAGGUAUGAAGAGGAACGCCGAGUUGAGAUAGUGAGUCACUUGGAUGAUGAACCUGUGUGUUUAUACUUCUGUGAAGUGGAUGCAAUAUUUUGAAAUGAAAAUGUAUUUACAUUUCCAUGAAAUGGGCAGAAAGUAUAUUUAAACUUCUAUGAAGUGGAUAUCAGAUGAAAAUAUAUUUUUAUAAAUAAAGCAAAAAUGAAAUUUUU